Molecule: transfer RNA, 72 nt
Filed under: Camelus bactrianus (Bactrian camel)
Lineage: Eukaryota; Metazoa; Chordata; Mammalia; Artiodactyla; Camelidae
Also listed under: 1 other name
Rfam family: tRNA
About the family: Transfer RNA (tRNA) molecules are approximately 80 nucleotides in length. Their secondary structure includes four short double-helical elements and three loops (D, anti-codon, and T loops). Further hydrogen bonds mediate the characteristic L-shaped molecular structure. tRNAs have two regions of fundamental functional importance: the anti-codon, which is responsible for specific mRNA codon recognition, and the 3' end, to which the tRNAs corresponding amino acid is attached (by aminoacyl-tRNA synthetases). tRNAs cope with the degeneracy of the genetic code in two manners: having more than one tRNA (with a specific anti-codon) for a particular amino acid; and 'wobble' base-pairing, i.e. permitting non-standard base-pairing at the 3rd anti-codon position.
Source: Rfam by way of RNAcentral
GAGGGUAUAGCUCAGUGAUAGAGCACAUGCUUAGCAUGCAUGAGGCCCCAGGUUCAAUUCCCAGUACCUCCA